RNAcentral lists this ribosomal RNA (2904 nucleotides) under Escherichia coli. Its description in RNAcentral is "23S ribosomal RNA". It matches the Rfam family "Bacterial large subunit ribosomal RNA". Lineage: Bacteria; Pseudomonadati; Pseudomonadota; Gammaproteobacteria; Enterobacterales; Enterobacteriaceae. RNAcentral also lists the same sequence under 3 other names. The record is from RNAcentral.
GGUUAAGCGACUAAGCGUACACGGUGGAUGCCCUGGCAGUCAGAGGCGAUGAAGGACGUGCUAAUCUGCGAUAAGCGUCGGUGAGGUGAUAUGAACCGUUAUAACCGGCGAUUUCCGAAUGGGGAAACCCAGUGUGUUUCGACACACUAUCAUUAACUGAAUCCAUAGGUUAAUGAGGCGAACCGGGGGAACUGAAACAUCUAAGUACCCCGAGGAAAAGAAAUCAACCGAGAUUCCCCCAGUAGCGGCGAGCGAACGGGGAGGAGCCCAGAGCCUGAAUCAGUGUGUGUGUUAGUGGAAGCGUCUGGAAAGGCGCGCGAUACAGGGUGACAGCCCCGUACACAAAAAUGCACAUAUUGUGAGCUCGAUGAGUAGGGCGGGACACGUGGUAUCCUGUCUGAAUAUGGGGGGACCAUCCUCCAAGGCUAAAUACUCCUGACUGACCGAUAGUGAACCAGUACCGUGAGGGAAAGGCGAAAAGAACCCCGGCGAGGGGAGUGAAAAAGAACCUGAAACCGUGUACGUACAAGCAGUGGGAGCCUCUUAAUGGGGUGACUGCGUACCUUUUGUAUAAUGGGUCAGCGACUUAUAUUCUGUAGCAAGGUUAACCGAAUAGGGGAGCCGAAGGGAAACCGAGUCUUAACUGGGCGUUAAGUUGCAGGGUAUAGACCCGAAACCCGGUGAUCUAGCCAUGGGCAGGUUGAAGGUUGGGUAACACUAACUGGAGGACCGAACCGACUAAUGUUGAAAAAUUAGCGGAUGACUUGUGGCUGGGGGUGAAAGGCCAAUCAAACCGGGAGAUAGCUGGUUCUCCCCGAAAGCUAUUUAGGUAGCGCCUCGUGAAUUCAUCUCCGGGGGUAGAGCACUGUUUCGGCAAGGGGGUCAUCCCGACUUACCAACCCGAUGCAAACUGCGAAUACCGGAGAAUGUUAUCACGGGAGACACACGGCGGGUGCUAACGUCCGUCGUGAAGAGGGAAACAACCCAGACCGCCAGCUAAGGUCCCAAAGUCAUGGUUAAGUGGGAAACGAUGUGGGAAGGCCCAGACAGCCAGGAUGUUGGCUUAGAAGCAGCCAUCAUUUAAAGAAAGCGUAAUAGCUCACUGGUCGAGUCGGCCUGCGCGGAAGAUGUAACGGGGCUAAACCAUGCACCGAAGCUGCGGCAGCGACACUAUGUGUUGUUGGGUAGGGGAGCGUUCUGUAAGCCUGUGAAGGUGUACUGUGAGGUAUGCUGGAGGUAUCAGAAGUGCGAAUGCUGACAUAAGUAACGAUAAAGCGGGUGAAAAGCCCGCUCGCCGGAAGACCAAGGGUUCCUGUCCAACGUUAAUCGGGGCAGGGUGAGUCGACCCCUAAGGCGAGGCCGAAAGGCGUAGUCGAUGGGAAACAGGUUAAUAUUCCUGUACUUGGUGUUACUGCGAAGGGGGGACGGAGAAGGCUAUGUUGGCCGGGCGACGGUUGUCCCGGUUUAAGCGUGUAGGCUGGUUUUCCAGGCAAAUCCGGAAAAUCAAGGCUGAGGCGUGAUGACGAGGCACUACGGUGCUGAAGCGACAAAUGCCCUGCUUCCAGGAAAAGCCUCUAAGCAUCAGGUAACAUCAAAUCGUACCCCAAACCGACACAGGUGGUCAGGUAGAGAAUACCAAGGCGCUUGAGAGAACUCGGGUGAAGGAACUAGGCAAAAUGGUGCCGUAACUUCGGGAGAAGGCACGCUGAUAUGUAGGUGAAGCGACUUGCUCGUGGAGCUGAAAUCAGUCGAAGAUACCAGCUGGCUGCAACUGUUUAUUAAAAACACAGCACUGUGCAAACACGAAAGUGGACGUAUACGGUGUGACGCCUGCCCGGUGCCGGAAGGUUAAUUGAUGGGGUUAGCGGUAACGCGAAGCUCUUGAUCGAAGCCCCGGUAAACGGCGGCCGUAACUAUAACGGUCCUAAGGUAGCGAAAUUCCUUGUCGGGUAAGUUCCGACCUGCACGAAUGGCGUAAUGAUGGCCAGGCUGUCUCCACCCGAGACUCAGUGAAAUUGAACUCGCUGUGAAGAUGCAGUGUACCCGCGGCAAGACGGAAAGACCCCGUGAACCUUUACUAUAGCUUGACACUGAACAUUGAGCCUUGAUGUGUAGGAUAGGUGGGAGGCUUUGAAGUGUGGACGCCAGUCUGCAUGGAGCCGACCUUGAAAUACCACCCUUUAAUGUUUGAUGUUCUAACGUGGGCCCCUUACCGGGGUUGCGGACAGUGUCUGGUGGGUAGUUUGACUGGGGCGGUCUCCUCCUAAAGAGUAACGGAGGAGCACGAAGGUUGGCUAAUCCUGGUCGGACAUCAGGAGGUUAGUGCAAUGGCAUAAGCCAGCUUGACUGCGAGCGUGACGGCGCGAGCAGGUGCGAAAGCAGGUCAUAGUGAUCCGGUGGUUCUGAAUGGAAGGGCCAUCGCUCAACGGAUAAAAGGUACUCCGGGGAUAACAGGCUGAUACCGCCCAAGAGUUCAUAUCGACGGCGGUGUUUGGCACCUCGAUGUCGGCUCAUCACAUCCUGGGGCUGAAGUAGGUCCCAAGGGUAUGGCUGUUCGCCAUUUAAAGUGGUACGCGAGCUGGGUUUAGAACGUCGUGAGACAGUUCGGUCCCUAUCUGCCGUGGGCGCUGGAGAACUGAGGGGGGCUGCUCCUAGUACGAGAGGACCGGAGUGGACGCAUCACUGGUGUUCGGGUUGUCAUGCCAAUGGCACUGCCCGGUAGCUAAAUGCGGAAGAGAUAAGUGCUGAAAGCAUCUAAGCACGAAACUUGCCCCGAGAUGAGUUCUCCCUGACUCCUUGAGAGUCCUGAAGGAACGUUGAAGACGACGACGUUGAUAGGCCGGGUGUGUAAGCGCAGCGAUGCGUUGAGCUAACCGGUACUAAUGAACCGUGAGGCUUAACCUU